This is a long non-coding RNA of Ananas comosus (pineapple), 625 nucleotides long. RefSeq lists it as uncharacterized. The transcript has 2 exons. NCBI's taxonomy places the organism in Eukaryota, Viridiplantae, Streptophyta, Magnoliopsida, Poales, Bromeliaceae. The record is from RefSeq and is a predicted model, not a curated record.
GAAUCCAGCAUAUCUGUGGAUUUCAUAUCAUUCGCUGAUAUUAAUUUCAUGCACCUGCGUAUCUUUAUUCUGCAGCAUAUCCCCGAAAAUUGUCCUACUCUGCACACUUGCUUUGUUUUGAGAGAAUUUCACUACACACUUCACAAUAUAAGGAGGGCUAUCCCUCACACAUUUCUCAUGCAUUUCUCCAAAAACACAACCAUUCUCAGGACAAAUGAAGGGGCUCAAAUUGGCGGUCUAUUUCUCGGUUGUAGUAGCAAUGCUGUUGCUGUCGCCGGCAGUAGCACACUCGGCCGCCCCGCCAGCGCGCAAGCCGCUGCCAUACAUUGAGUACUCUAAGAAUGGAUUGGCAGUAGCUUGCCCCGCGCCCUGCGACAAGAAGUGCUGCGCCUGCAUCUACUACCGUACCCGGCCGAAAUGUAUCUUCUGCUUUGAUGAUUGCUGGCAUUUUCAAUAGAGAGGGUUAGAACUUAGAAGUGUUUGAGUUCAAUGGAUCGUCGCAGAUUAAAAUACUUACUAAUAAUAAUAAAAGAGUGAGGUGUUACUGCUGAAUUUUCUUGUUCCAAUGCUGUGUUCAUGAUUCUUGGCUUCUUUUAAAUGGAUACGUGAACUUCAAAUUUUUAAA